This 252-nucleotide ribosomal RNA is filed under the name uncultured bacterium. RNAcentral describes it as "partial 16S ribosomal RNA". It matches the Rfam family "Bacterial small subunit ribosomal RNA", at positions 524 to 776 of the family's 1533-position model. The record is from RNAcentral.
UACGGAGGGUGCAAGCGUUGUUCGGAAUUAUUGGGCGUAAAGGGCGUGUAGGCGGUUCGUUAAGUCUGAUGUGAAAGCCCCGGGCUCAACCUGGGAAGUGCAUUGGAAACUGGCGAACUUGAGUACGGGAGAGGGCAGUGGAAUUCCUAGUGUAGGAGUGAAAUCCGUAGAUAUCGGGAGGAACACCAGUGGCGAAGGCGGGUCUCUGGGCCGAUACUGACGCUGAGGAGCGAAAGCGUGGGAGCGAACGAG